CAGUAGCCGCGGGAACACGAAGGGGGCUAGCGUUGUUCGGAAUUACUGGGCGUAAAGCGCACGCAGGCGGCUCGAUAAAUUAGAAGUGAAAGCCUUGGGCUUAACCUGAGAAUUGCUUUUAAGACUGUCGAGCUAGAGUCCAGAAGAGGGUAGUGGAAUUCCGAGUGUAGAGGUGAAAUUCGUAGAUAUUGGGAAGAACACCGGUGGCGAAGGCGGCGACCUGGUCCUUUACUGACGCUGAGGCGCGAAAGCGUGGGGAGCAAACAGGAUUAGAUACCCCCAGUAGUCCCUGUCUCUUAUU
Molecule: ribosomal RNA, 301 nt
Filed under: uncultured bacterium
Lineage: Bacteria
Description: partial 16S ribosomal RNA
Rfam family: Bacterial small subunit ribosomal RNA
Source: RNAcentral